Molecule: non-coding RNA, 71 nt
Organism: Phrynosoma platyrhinos (Desert horned lizard)
Lineage: Eukaryota; Metazoa; Chordata; Lepidosauria; Squamata; Phrynosomatidae
Source: the annotation of a GenBank genome assembly
GCCAGUGUGGCAUAGUGGUUUGAAUGUUGGACUAUGACUGUGGAGACCAGGGUUCGAUUCCCAGCUUGACC